CAAUAUUUAGCAACACUGUCAUGGAUUUCAAGUGCAGCCAACACUAUAGAAUAUAAACAAUGUAGCAUGUUAUGGAUUUCAAGUGCAGCCAACAAUAUAGAAUAUAAACAAUGAAGCAUUACCUCAACUAACCUGUGCUCCCCACACAUUGACAAAUGUAUAUAGGCUCACUACUGUUCUUUUAUUGUUUAUCUUUAAUUAUUAGUUAUUUUUACGUUUUAUUUAAAUUUGUUAUGUUUUUUGUUGUUGUUUUACUUCAGGUUUUUUUGUAAAUACUUUCUUAACAGUUAUUUUUCUUAAAACUGCGUUGUUGGCUAAGGGCUUGUAAGUAAGCAUUUCACUCUAAGGUCUACACCUGUUGUAUUCGGUGCAUGUGACAAAUAGCUGGUCUCUUAUUGAUGCCAUAGGACACACACUCACAAACACAUGCACACACACACAAACGCACAAAUAUCCAGCACUUACCAGCCAUCUCUGCCAACAAUGUCCAUUAAUUCCUGUAAAGGAAAUACAUCAUGAAGUGGAGCCAUUUUAGUCCACAGCCAUUCAUUCUUGUUUUUACACUCACAGAUAAUACACAUUUAACAAAUGAAAUCCAAAUGAGUUCACUUGCAAGCCCAGCUGUGCUACAUUGUGAAGCAUAUUUAUUUGGGGACAAAAUAUGUUUGUUUUUCUCUGUAUAAAAGCUUGGUUUCUGAGAUGGAGGAGUACUGUACAAAUCUAAUGUAUUUGCCCGAGUGGGUUUUUGGAUUGCUGCACAUACAGCCUAGAAUCAAAAGGGAUGCAUAUUCCUACACGGCUAGACAAGGCUCCCUCCCCAUGUAACAAUUAGACUCCCCUCUGCACACGGGACGUGUUUCGAAAAGGUCACAAGCAAUUACUGAACCGGAUAAAAGCUGGCAUGUCUCACAUGGCACUGCACACUCUCAUUAGGCGUGUACUGCAGCCUAGAGUGGGUCUCUGGGCCAUAAAAUCCCUGUGCUGCUCCCUGCCUUCCAACCCUCCUCUAAUAGGUCUGCACCCACCAGCGUUAGCAGCACAAGGGAAACUACACAUCACCUCUGGAUCAGAUAUGAGGAGAAAGGAGUACUGGCAAACACUGUGAAAGGAUGAGGGACUACUGUGCAUCACAGUGCUUACUCAAAACCUGACAACGGAAGAACAUGGUAUUUCCCCAAUCAUAAAGACAGGCUUAAUUUGUAUGGAUGUUUUAAAAGAUGGGAUUAAUAGAAAUAAAAGAGUAUGAUUAGUAUGUGUAUCUAUGAAUAUAGUCAUACUCAUGAACCAUAUAGGUUCAUAUAGGUCCCAUACAAAUUCAAGCCAAAGAGGAGAUAAAGGCAUGGGAGGAGUCUCUAAACUGCACGAAAAUGCAACAGAGAUCCUUUAUUGAUGUGAUCCAUGCACAUGAUACCUUGCUCUCAGGGCCGAUUCCAAACAGAAUACUUGUGGCGUUAUUGAAAUGGAAUUUUAGUACACCCAGUUUUACACACUCUGGCCCAUGUCGAUCCUAGUGCGCUAGAUGCACUCAUUGUGGACCCUGUCUAACACUUUCCAUACUGAGGUAUGAGAUCACAAAACUCACAAACACGAAAUCAAAACCGGAGGUCUUCAAUAAAACACUAUGGCCCAUCAAGUAGAAAAGGGCCAUUUGAAACCUUAACUAAUAGACAGUACUGUAUAUCGUAUACAUCUGCCUUUUCAACGUCUGAAGGCCAAAUGCAUGGGGACGAUUUUUCCGCUAGUAAUUCAUAUAGAAAAGUUCAAAAUGUGAAUCAUGCUAUUAACAGUUCAUUUAAAUCGAGCAUCCUAUUAUAUGAAAAAUAUAAUUGACAUAAAUAUCACACACACACACACACACACAAACAAACAAACACACACACACACUUACUCACGUACUUCCAGGCCACACACACACACACACACACACACACACACACACACACACACACACACACACACACACACACACACACACACACACACACACACAGAGAAAUAAUACUCACGUGCCUCCAGGCCACACACACACACGCGCAUACAAAUAAAUAAAAUGUAAAUUUCAAAAAGGCACAAUGCAAUGGUGAAAUUGGUAUUAGGCUAAUAUGUAAUAUUGCUAACCUAAAAUGCUCGAUAAGCUAUAUUGAAUUAAGUUGUGGGUAAGUGCAAUUCAUUAUUAAACAGUCGAUUUGCAUAUGCUUCGUCUAUUCCACUGGGAAUAAGGGCCAGUAAUUUCACUAAAGAAGAAAGAAAAGUAAUUUAAUUAAGGUAUGAACUAGCCUCCGCUAUAUGAAAACUAAACAUCUAAGAAGUCCUUCAUUCACGGAUAAGAUCAUGCACACUUGAAGAGAGGAUUCCUCAACGUCACUUGAAACAAAGAUCAAUCAAUACUGAAGGACUGGGUCUGUGCACCUGCAAACUUCAACCGUAUUCAAAUUCAAGUUAAAACAAGCGACGGAUAUCCACCCAAAUUUGUUUGCAUCUCUCUAUCAUUGAAAACUACGAAUAAACAUGUUAAAACAAUGUAUCAAUUCAUGGGGAGAUGAGGCAUGUGUUGACAGUAAACCAUAGCAAGAAAUUGUUGAUUUAUUUUAAUGGCCAAAUAUUAUUUCGAUGAUCAAUCGUUGAAAUAGGCAACUUUUGGAAAGAUUUCUAAACGAAAUAUAAUCGAAAAGGCAAUUUAACCAAAUGUAAGUGGGCUAGCUGCAAAAUCGAAAUUUCAUGCAAAAUCGAAAAAUAAAAUAGAGGAAUCAGACGGGUUUAUUCAGAAUUGCUGGUGCAUCGCGGUGUGUUUUUCUUUAGUAGUAAACCGUGGAGGGGAGUGAUCGGUAAAACAAUUAUGCAUUAUCGUUUAUUACGCAUAGGCUUAUCUAUUGAGCAGCAUAUGGGCUCAGAAUAUGGGCUGUCAGCGAGAAUAGGCCUAAGUAGUUAAAUACCGGACUACCGUAAGACCUAAAGCCUAAUACAAGGCUAUAUGAUGUCAUUUAAGACGAUUGUGAAUACCUACAGUAACGCGUGAAAUAUAAUUAGCCUGCAGUGUUCACAAGAUGCAACUAAGGUUACAAACGUCUCCGCUUCAGCUAAACAAACUUAUAACCCUGAUGUGUGCACGGCGUUUAAUGCAUAAGGCAUUGAGAACACUACCCAUAGGCCCUACAUGUACACUGACGAAACCGCCAGUUUGCCGAAAACGACAGCUUCCUUGCAACACAUCCAGUGAUGCGGUGGUGAUGUGUGUGCCAAACUAAAGUAAGCGCAUACCAGCCUCCUGCGUCAUGGGUUGUAACCACAGAGGUGACAUGAGACGAGAGGUGGACACCUGUUGGGACCCAGGUCCGCGCGCAUGCUGGCCUUUCUCCAGCCGCUACCGCAACUGGAGAAUGUGCUGGUUUGAGGCGCUCGAGACGAGGAUAUAGCCCAUACAGAAACACCAACUUUUGAGAAACUAUUCGAUCAAACUAGUAAUGGAAAAGCAUAACCUUUUGGUGUCAGUUCAUAUUUUUGUUGGCGUGAUGCCAAUCGUUAAUGAUUGAAAUGAUGCAUACAGAUUGAACUGAGACACAUCUAACUCCUGGAAAUCAAACAUGAGGGACAAAAGAUGUUUUGGGCUGAUUCGUUAUCUAAAAUGUAUUCUAUUUCAAGUAUGUUAGAAAGUGAUAAUAUCUUUCAACCGUUACAAAAACUACAUUUAAUUCAUGCAAAUGUUAAUCGAUUCACAACGGGCAUUUAGGGAACUUCAUAACUGUUUGUUUGGUUUUGUCACGUGACUUUUGCAGAGCCACAGUUGAACACGACCUUCCUACUUUACCAGCAGGUCAUUCUUCUCCCAGACAUGUAUUUAGGCACUUUUUUAAUCAGGAACAUGCACAAAAAAAGACUCCAUAGACCUAGAAAGACUUCAGUCAAUUUUGAGGACAUUUAUGUACAUAAUGCAAUAUUGAAAGUGUUAAAACUAUUGCGUAAUAGGCUAGCGAAAAUGUCAUUACAUUUUACUGAUUCAAUCGUACAGCCUAAAAUAAUAUUACUCCCCAGUCCCUUUAUAAAAGUCAUAAUUAUCCUUUUCAAUUGAUCAUUGAUGCUUAUGUAUCUAGUACGCAAAUAUUCAACAAUGUUGAUGAUUCGUUUUGCAUAUACAUUUCUCUACAGAGAUAAUUAAACUAUUAUAAGUAAUUGGCCUUUGAUUGACGAAAGCACAAACUCGAAAAUUUUCAACUAGUUAUAGGCUACAGAAAUAAUCAAAUGUAAAUCAUAUGUUAUUAAAAUGCCAUGUAGCCUAUUACUUAUAAUCCCACUAUACAUGUUGCAUUGUUUCUGAAUUUUCCUGAAAAAAAGGAAGAUUAAUAAAAACAAAUGCAUGUAAACCUACUUGACCAAAUAUCUAACGGUGCUAAUAGUAAUAAAUAAGUAAGUAUUCAUUAAUUUUAAAAGCUAUGGAUAACAGUUUAAUUAGCUUGUUGACAUUAUAUAAUAUUGCCUGUUAGCAACAGAAAUGUUUCAUAUUUUCAGCGUCAAAGUGCAGACGUUUAAACGAUUUUCUUCUCAGACAUGCCUUCAUAAAAACACAAUGCAAAACUCGAAAGAAAAUAAAUAUACUUUGUCAUUUGGUAAUUGAUGAAAGUCGACCCAUUGAUUUGUAAUUUGCUCUGUAGAUUUAGUAAGCGGCUGAAUCAGCUCUAUACCAGAUAGGCCUACCAGUUUUACCGUGCCUCCAAAGUACAAAUUUACUCGCAAUACAAUCAAAUACAGCUCGAAUUUAAACUUAAACUAUUUCACGUUGUAGUUCUUGUCAAAAAAGUUUCUGAAAAAUAUAUUUGAAACAUGCAUUUAUACCUGACACAUCACGACAUGUUUGUGUUCCAGUGGUCCUCUUAGCCAAAUAAUCUGCACAGUUGUGGCAGUAUGUUGGAAUCUGUUAAAACUAGAUGACUGCAUGUAAUUCCUAUUCUUUCCAGAUGAGGGAUGAGUUUCUGUUGAGCAGCCCUAUGGAUUUCUAAAAUAGUUUUCAACAGAAUUCCACAGAAUCCAAGCAAAAGCCUGUCAAGAAGAUAAACAACACAGAUAUAUAGACCUAAUGUAGUUCUGUCGCGUAUCACUUCAUCAAGAUAGUCAAUAAAUGAUGCUAAUUUCAUUGAGAAACAUUAAAUUUUGCAUUGUAUGCAUUAUGUUUGAUUUCCUAUUGCUAGCAGACAACCUGGAGAGCAGUGAGCAUCAAUAUCACACUAACUAUUUUCACAGUAACUGUACCAUAAUGAGCGAUCGCCCUCUCCUCUUAUUUCGCCUCCAUCCAAGGUUGCUGUGGUGACCCAACCUGAUGUUUU
This is a long non-coding RNA of Oncorhynchus tshawytscha (Chinook salmon), 5315 nucleotides long. The record is from Ensembl. Lineage: Eukaryota; Metazoa; Chordata; Actinopteri; Salmoniformes; Salmonidae.